GUCCUCUGCUGGGCAGAAAAGAAAAAGAAUAACAGUUAAUUUGUACAAUCCUAUAUUUGUAUUGCAUUGGCUAGUUUGUCCACUGCAUCUUGUGUUUACAGUAUCCUUAACCUUCUAUGUACAGAAGUCACUCAGCAGAGGUGUCCCAGUGGCAUAGCAGAGGAGGAAUAUAAACAUCCUGAAAAAUCAUCAUGAACCUGAACUUCAGCCCAGUCAAGUCUCGCUUAUCUAGCAUGCAUAAUUUUCAGAAUCAAAGAAAUAAAGCAUACCUUAGGAUGAUGUUAAAUCUCGUUAUUCCAUAGCUUAUUACUGAGAUGCUAUGUCCUGGUACAUUCCAAAGUGAUAAAUGAAUAGCAAACAGUUUUUUGCCAGGGCGACUCUAAAGCAUUGCAUCUUGCGAAUGCUCCACUAGAGCUGAUCAUUUGACCACCGAAUCUUGUAUUCAGAUCAACUGCCGCGUGGAACUUGACCCAAGCAUUCGCAAUUUCUUGUCUGACAACUUGAAGCAACUAGGGACUUGCAUCAGAUGUUACCAACGUAUUCAUCCACAUCGAUACCAUGCUCUCCACUUUCCUUCUCAAUUCUAGUCGCUGUGGUCAGAACGACUUUGUAGUCUCGGUUCGAGUACACUUUAAACAGAAGUCAAGAGAGGGAUAAAAAUAUAGCUCCAAUGUUGACAUGGUUCAUACAGUGAAUUUAGCUGUACUAGCACCUAACCAUCCACCUUCAACUCCAUUAUUCGUCCUUGCUGCCAUGUCCCUUCAUCCAUCUAUUCCUCGUCUAGUAUUUAUGCAAAAAAUGUAUUAUCUGGCAUUGCUUUCUUGGGAUCCUGAAAAUGAAGUGCGUCUUGUUGAAUUAAGGUGCACUCACAGCAUAUGUGCUGCGGUGCACGUACGCAUAAUCUACCAAUUACCCAAUCAAUCCAUUUCACACCUCUCCCAUACCAACAACAACAACAACAACAACAGCCAAUCACACUCCAUCAUGCGUAUGCAUGCUGGACAGCCAAUUGGCUGCGGUGUGCAUACGCAUUAUUUCCUCCUCACGACGAGACGUGGCCUAAAUCAUCCCCGAGUGCGUGCACAUAAAGCAUGUAGGCUACGCUGUUCGUACUGUGGUCUGUACGCCAGUUGCAUAGCAACCGACUCAGAGGCUACCAUGUCAAACACUUCUUGCACUUCUUGCUUCGACAGAAGUGUUCAAAUGAAAUCUGAGUUCACGUGGGCUAAAUCGAUGAAUGUGAAGCUAAAUUUCUUCUCUCUAACCUAAACCGGUAGUUCGAACAAACAAAGUAUUACACAGCCCCUCUCUUCUUUCGAGCGUCGUCCCCGACGCUCCCCUUGGUCAGCCUCCCGUGUCAGCCAUCACAACGUAAUCUGUGCUGCGAGAAGCACCCACGAGCUAACCAUCCCAGUUGUCGAGAUUCGAACGCAUGUGUUCCUGUAGUGCUAUCAAUUCCGCGUAGCACUCAGUGCAGCAAAUGCGCGCUCCUUGGCCGUCCUCUCCCACGACACUGUGGUCCCAUGAAAGAUGGAGGUACGAAUCCAAGCUUUCGAAUGAGUCGAGCCUCACACAACACAUAUUGCGAUUCCAGGCUUAAUUGAUACCGUGGAAGAAACGCAAGGGCAUCGUAGAAACCUGAGCAAAUGUGGCGGUCGGGCGUCAUAGGAACAAAAUGCAUGCGAUCCAAGUGUGCAAAGCAUAAAACGAUGUUAUCCAAUGGCAUCCUGCACAUUCUACAUCUGGCAACAGGAGAGAGAGCUUACGGAGGAUGCUUGACCACAACGUCGCAGGUCUCUCUUGGCAGUUCCACUGCACUUGGAGUUCACGGCUAGUGUCGCUUCCCUCCCUGUCCCCUGUCUCCCUGUCGAACACGAGGGCGAGGGAGAUGCCGAAGCUGGACGUCGAUCUCAGCCCUUGUUACGAGAUACCAGAGGUUCUCUCAUCCAUAGCACAUGCACUUCUUUCACACCGCCAAAAUUUGCUAGAAGCGACAUGGAGCAGGAUAAAAUCCAUCGAAGUCGGAUCCACUUUCCGCUGGCGUCCCGAGACUCCCUUUAAGGUAAAAGAAGGCAUAGUACGGGGGGUGGAAUACAUGUAUUCUGGAAACAGAGGGUUUGGGGGCUGUUGGCACGGCCCAAAGGCCGGCCAGCCGGCUAGUACAAUAUGGCCACCCAAGUGACCGAAACCCGCACUUCAAACAAACAAAAGUACUACACCUACAUGCAUUGAAAAGGCACUUAAACUAGCAUGUAUCAUGUGCCUAAGACAGUAGUAUUUUACUUGCACUUAAAUUUAGUUGAAUUAUAAUCAAAUUAUUGCUACGCUGGACUCGAGACUUAUCAGAAGGCAGAAGAACACAUAACACAUAUGUAAUGUAACAGACAGGAAGAAACUGGAGCUGCUGGCAUUGUUCAGAGGCUAGCCCAGUCUGCAAAGGAAAUCCAUCUAACCCGAUUCGUAGUAACGGAAUCUAGAGUCAAGCAAGCAACAAAGCAUUACGACUGCAGUUUAACUCGAUAAGUGGAAGGGGACUGUAAUACAUUGUUUGUUCGAACUGCCGGUUUCGGUCGCUUGGGUGGUCAUCUUGUACUAGCCAAUUCCCCGGCCCUCCCUCCGUGCCAACAGCCGCCAAGCCCUCUGGUUCCAGAAUAUAUAUUCUACUUUGUCACUAAGCCUUCUAUUACUUUAGGGGAACACUCAGGACGCUACAGGGACAAUGUCUUUGGAAUGUGGGGCCGUGAAAAUUAAUCCGUUCUACUUUCUUCCCACCUCCUCUUUUCCUCCUUUAGGCACGUCAGACCACCCAUGUAAGACCGUAAGUUAUUCGCCCUAUAUAUACGCGAUAUAUCGCCUUUGUAAUGUAACAUUUUCGCCAAUCAAUUCUUMUAAAACCUCCCUUUUGGUAUCCACUUAAUAGUCACUAAUUUCUCUUUAAAACAGGUGAGCAGGAAACACUUUCUCAUUAUCUUUAAGAAGAAUAAAGAUGCCCAAUUCAUCCUAUUAGCCACAUUAUCAAACUGGCACAGUUAACUUGAAUUCUAGUUGAAUUAUAAUCAAAUUAUUGCUACGCUCCACUCGAGACUUAUCAGAAGGCAGAAGAACACAUAACACAUAUGUAA
RNAcentral lists this unclassified non-coding RNA (3122 nucleotides) under Taenia solium (pork tapeworm). RNAcentral describes it as "partial external transcribed spacer". Lineage: Eukaryota; Metazoa; Platyhelminthes; Cestoda; Cyclophyllidea; Taeniidae. The record is from RNAcentral.